GAUGAACGCUAGCGGCAGGCCUAACACAUGCAAGUCGAGGGAGAAGCCCUUUCGGGGGCCGAAACCGGCGCACGGGUGCGUAACGCGUAUGCAACCUACCUUUCACAGGGGGAUAGCCCGAAGAAAUUUGGAUUAAUACCCCAUAAUAUUAUUGGAUGGCAUCAUUUGAUAAUUAAAACUGCGGUGGUGAAAGAUGGGCAUGCGUCCUAUUAGCUAGUUGGAGUGGUAACGGCACCCCAAGGCUACGAUAGGUAAGGGUCCUGAGAGGGAGAUCCCCCACACUGGUACUGAGACAGGGACCAGACUCCUACGGGAGGCAGCAGUGAGGAAUAUUGGUCAAUGGUCGGAAGACUGAACCAGCCAUGCCGCGUGCAGGAAGAAUGCCUUAUGGGUUGUAAACUGCUUUUAUAUGGGAAGAAUAAGGCGUACGUGUACGUUGAUGACGGUACCAUAUGAAUAAGCAUCGGCUAACUCCGUG
This 478-nucleotide ribosomal RNA is filed under the name uncultured bacterium. RNAcentral's name for it is "partial 16S ribosomal RNA". It matches the Rfam family "Bacterial small subunit ribosomal RNA", at positions 28 to 507 of the family's 1533-position model. The record is from RNAcentral.